RNAcentral lists this long non-coding RNA (404 nucleotides) under Mytilus galloprovincialis (Mediterranean mussel). The record is from RNAcentral. Lineage: Eukaryota; Metazoa; Mollusca; Bivalvia; Mytilida; Mytilidae.
GUCAUAUAUUUCUGAGGUAGGAUGAUAGAUAAACAUACAUCAUAAGAAAUGAUACAUCAAAUGUAUUGUUUUUGAAAAUAAAUUCAUGACACAAGCACGACAAGUCAGAGAUGCAGACGUGUUUAUAUGGCGCUUAUAACCAUAUAGGUGCUAAAUAAAUUAAUACACAAAUAGGUAAAUACUAAGAAAAUAUCACGAACAGAACGUCCAGGAGAUUUAAAAGCAGCUAUAAAGUUGUUUUUUUUUUUAAAGAAAGAACAAUAUACCUUUAAACACUAUCAUUUAUGUUGUAUAACUUAAAACAGGUUUUGUGAUUCAGUUUGUUUAUAUUGAGUUAAAUGAUGAUGUCGUUAAGUGAUUCGUGUUUACUGGCGAAUAAUUAUACAGUUAUGUCAUUAUCACUG